GUCGGCGCUGAGGCGGAGCUGCCAGGGCGGGUCCGUUCCCUGUACCGCUCCCUCCCGGUUUCCCACCCUCAUCCACAUCCCCGGGAGGCGCAGCUGGGGCACGGGGCCCCGCUCUGCUCUUAGGGGUCCCCUCAGCGCCUGCUGCAGCCCCGCCAUGUCCCGGCGUACCCCUCAGAGACGUGGAGCCUCUGAGGGCUCGGCCGGCAGGCGGGAUGUGAGCUGUGCCCGCAGGGCUGUGGUGCCCCUCUUCCCAUGGAGCAGGAUGGAAGGAAACGUCCCAGGGAAUGCCGCUGGAAUGCUGGAAAGGAUCGAGCCAGCCGUGCCAGGCUCUGGCUGCUGGGAAACUCAGCUCCUGUUGCGUCUGGAAGAACCGCAGGCUGCUGCAGCUUCUCAAGCGGAAACGCUGAAUCCCACCCCUCUGAGCUGGCAAAGGAGCUGAAAUCCAAGGAUUUAAUGCCCAUAGAGCACUGCACAACCCCCAAACCCCCUCCAACAGUUCCACCUUGGAUAAACAGGAAAAAAAUCCACCUGCGGAGGUUCCCUGCCCAAAUUUUGGGCUUGGCAGAGGAGCGGGAGACUCAGACUCAGGGACAGAUCACAGGGAUCAGGAUUUGUUUUGGCUGGAGGAUUACUGGGACAUUUUUAGGAGUCCAGUCGCCAUCUGCCGGCAAACUCUGGCUCUUGGGUGGGAAUCUGGGGAAAAGUUCAGGAUUUAAGGGCAGGUUCUCUAACUCCCUGUGAGAAAAUCGUGGGUUUUUUAGGGUACUGAAGGGGUAGUUAAUUUUUGAGCGAGGAAAAGGAAACGCAAAUCCCACCCCGAAAACCUGUGUAUGGCUCGGAGUUCAAAGGAGAACAUUGGAGUGGGGAAUAUUUUGGAUAUAAAUGAGAAAGUUUUAAGAAAUUAUGCGGACUUGGGGAAUUUUGCAUGUUUCUGAAGGCUGGGGCUGAUCCUUGUGCUCCAUAAGAGCAGCUUUAGGCUUAAAUGAAGAGGCACGAAUUGGAUGGAGGACACACGGACACCUGGAUGUCUGCAGGAGGGACCAGAGGCUGGA
Molecule: long non-coding RNA, 1052 nt
Filed under: Serinus canaria (Common canary)
Lineage: Eukaryota; Metazoa; Chordata; Aves; Passeriformes; Fringillidae
Description: lncRNA (ENSSCAG00000005127.1)
Source: RNAcentral